AAUCUUCCGCAAUGUACGAAAGCCUGACGGAGCAACGCCGCGUGAUUGAUGAAGGUCUUCUGAUCGUAAAACUCUGUUGUUAGGGAAGAACAAGUAUCGUUCGAAUAGGGCGGUACCUUGACGGUACCUAACCAUAAAGCUACGGCUAACUACUUGCCAGCAGCCGCGGUAAUACGUAGGUGGCAAGCGUUAUCCAGAAUUAUUGGGCGUAAAGCGCGCGAAGGCAGUUUCUUAAGUCUGAUGUGAAAGCCCACGGCUCAACCGUGGAGGGUCAUUGGAAACUGGGAAGCUUGAGUGCAGAAGAGGAGAGUGGAAUUCCAUGUGUAGCGGUGAAAUGCGUAGAGAUAUGGAGGAACACCAGUGGCGAAGGCGACUCUCUGGUCUGCAACUGACGCUAAGGCGCGAAAGCGUGGGGAGAGAACA
RNAcentral lists this ribosomal RNA (423 nucleotides) under uncultured bacterium. RNAcentral describes it as "partial 16S ribosomal RNA". It matches the Rfam family "Bacterial small subunit ribosomal RNA", at positions 360 to 774 of the family's 1533-position model. The record is from RNAcentral.